GUAUUCCUUCGGGGUCGGGUGAAAUUCCCAAUCGACGGUAACGAAGCAAUUCGAAGCCCGUGAGCCUUUCGGGGCAGGAUUUGGUGCAAGUCCAAAGCCGACAGUUAGAGUCUGGAUGGGAGAAGGAAGAA
This is a regulatory RNA element of Planococcus rifietoensis, 131 nucleotides long. It matches the Rfam family "FMN riboswitch aptamer (RFN element)". From Rfam's summary of the family: The RFN element is a highly conserved domain that is found frequently in the 5'-untranslated regions of prokaryotic mRNAs that encode for flavin mononucleotide (FMN) biosynthesis and transport proteins. This element is a metabolite-dependent riboswitch that directly binds FMN in the absence of proteins. The record is from Rfam. NCBI's taxonomy places the organism in Bacteria, Bacillati, Bacillota, Bacilli, Caryophanales, Caryophanaceae.